GUCUACAGCCAUGCCACUCUGAAUGUGCCCGAUCUCAUCUGAUCUUGGAAGCUCAGCAGGGUAGGGCCUGAUUAGUACUUGGAUGGGAGACCACCUAGGAAUACUGGGUACUGUAGAUG
This 119-nucleotide ribosomal RNA is filed under the name Pteropus alecto (black flying fox). Lineage: Eukaryota; Metazoa; Chordata; Mammalia; Chiroptera; Pteropodidae. The record is from RNAcentral.